UCGCUCGCGGUGUUUGACUGACCGGUCCGGACGUCAUGCCGGUGGGGCUUCGGCGCAAGUCGGAGCUCCGUAAUUAACCCUCCGCGCUGCUCUUAACCGAGUGGUUCGGUGGGCCGGCACGUUUACUUUGAACAAAUUUGAGUGCUCAAAGCAGGCCUUAUGUUGCCUGAAAACUGUGUGCAUGGAAUAAUGGAAUAGGACCUUGGUUCUAUUUUGUUGGCUUUCUGAACUUGAGGUAAUGAUUAACAGGGACAGACGGGGGCAUUCGUAUUGCGACGUUAGAGGUGAAAUUCUUGGAUCGUCGCAAGACGGACCGAUGCGAAAGCGUUUGCCAAGAAUGUUUUCGCUAAUCAAGAACGAAAGUUAGAGGUUCGAAGGCGAUUAGAUACCGCCCUAGUUCUAACCAUAAACGAUGUCAGCCAGCGAUGCGCCGAUGUUCCUCCGAUGACACGGCGCGCAACUUCCGGGAAACCAAAGCUUUUGGGUUCCGGGGGAAGUAUGGUGCAAAGCUGAAACUAAAGGAAUGACGAAGGC
This 534-nucleotide ribosomal RNA is filed under the name Heptageniidae environmental sample. Its description in RNAcentral is "SSU rRNA". It matches the Rfam family "Eukaryotic small subunit ribosomal RNA", at positions 710 to 1163 of the family's 1831-position model. Lineage: Eukaryota; Metazoa; Arthropoda; Insecta; Ephemeroptera; Heptageniidae. The record is from RNAcentral.